CCUACGGGUGGCAGCAGUCGAGAAUCAUUCACAAUGGGCGAAACCCUGAUGCUGCGACGCCGCGUGGGGGACUGAAGGUCUUCGGAUUGUAAACCCCUUUCAUGUGGGAGCAAACUACAAAGAUAGUACCACAACAGGAAGAGACGACUAACUCUGGGCCAGGAGCCACGGUAAUACAGGGGUCUGACGUGUUGUUAUGAAUGACUUGGCGUGAAGGGUUCGGUGGCUGUGUCGUGAGGCGUGGGGGAAAAGCGCGGGGUCAACCCGCGGGCGGCACCUGAUACUGCGAGUCUAGAGUGAUGGAGGGGGAAGCGGAAUGCGCGGUGUAGCAGUGAAAUGCGUAGAGAUCGAGAAGAACACUGGUGGCGAAGGCGGGUUCCUGG
Molecule: ribosomal RNA, 383 nt
Filed under: uncultured bacterium
Lineage: Bacteria
Description: partial 16S ribosomal RNA
Rfam family: Bacterial small subunit ribosomal RNA
Source: RNAcentral